This is an RNA transcript of Elaeis guineensis (African oil palm), 5609 nucleotides long. It is a transcript of the gene named ABC transporter D family member 1, with no coding region annotated. Lineage: Eukaryota; Viridiplantae; Streptophyta; Magnoliopsida; Arecales; Arecaceae. The record is from RefSeq and is a predicted model, not a curated record.
CCGGUGCCCUGUUUCCUUCUCUCUUCCCCAUUCAUUCUUCUUCCCCCUUCUCUCUUCUCUUUGGCUGGCCUCUGGGAACCCUAAGGAGGUCUUCCAGCGUAUCGGCCUCGCCUUCUUGCAGCCUUUCUGGGAGGCGUCGAUCGUCAACUGUGGUGUCUCAGUUUCUUCUAGUGAGAUACACAACUGAUGUGGAAUAACCUAAAAAAUGCAAAUGACAAACAAUUGUAUGAAUACGACAAAAAAUGAUGCAGGGACACAUGCUAUGGUGGAUCAGAGAUCUAUUUGCAGCAAUAUUCAAUUUUUAAGCUGGCCCAGGGUCAAACAUUGGGCAGCCACAGCAGUGUUUCUUCCUUCUUACAUUCAGCCUGUGUCCUCUGGAAGUGAAUUUUUUGACUGAUUGAUAAAUUAUUUGGAGAAAUUAUUUUUAAACAUGCCGUCUCUGCAAUUAUUGCUGUUAACUGACCAUGGGCGCAGCCUUUUGGCUUGUAGGAGGAGAACAGUUGCAUUAGUCUCAGGUGUUCUAGUGGCUGGUGGAACUCUUGCAUAUAUGCAGUCACGAUGGCAUAGCAGCUCCCUCAGACAAGAAUCUUCUUCUAACAUCUGUACAUCUGGUAAGAAUAAGGAGAGCUCGAGCCAGAAUGGUGCAGUUGAUAAGUCAAUUAGGACAUCAAGGCAAAAUAAAAGGGGAUUAAGAUCUCUCCAUGUUCUAGCUGCAAUCUUGCUCUCACAGAUGGGCCCAAUGGGAAUGCGCAAUCUUAUGGCAUUAGUAGCCACGGUGGUGUUGAGAACUGCCUUGAGCAAUCGAUUGGCAAAAGUUCAAGGAUUCUUGUUUCGAGCUGCUUUUCUUCAGCGUGUACCAACCUUUUUGCGCCUGAUUGCUGAAAAUAUUCUCUUAUGUUUUCUCCAGUCUACCUUGUUUUCUACUUCAAAGUACUUGACAGGGGCCUUAAGUUUACGGUUGAGGAAAAUACUAACAGAGCUCAUACAUGCUGAUUAUUUUGAGAAUAUGGUAUACUACAAAAUCUCUCAUGUUGAUGACCGAGUUACCAACCCAGAGCAACGAAUUGCCAGCGAUAUACCAAAAUUCUGUUCAGAACUGAGUGACCUUAUAUGGGAUGAUCUCACAUCAGUUACUGAUGGUCUAAUAUAUACGUGGCGCCUCUGUUCCUAUGCAAGUCCAAAAUAUGUGCUCUGGAUACUGGCAUAUGUAUUAGGGGCAGGAUCUAUGAUUAGAAACUUCUCGCCUGCAUUUGGGAAACUGAUGUCCAAGGAGCAGCAAUUGGAAGGGGAUUAUAGGCAGCUUCACUCACGGUUGAGGACCCAUGCUGAAAGUGUUGCAUUUUAUGGGGGAGAGAACAGAGAAGCAUCCCAUAUUAGACAACAGUUCAAGACUCUUGUUAAGCAUUUGAAUCUUGUUCUUCAUGACAAUUGGUGGUUUGGAAUGACUCAAGAUUUUCUCUUAAAAUACCUUGGUGCUACAGUAGGAGUUGUCCUGAUUAUUGAACCCUUUUUCGCCGGCAAUCUUCGACCUGAUGCCUCAACAUUGGGAAGAGCAGAUAUGUUGAGCAAACUUCGUUAUCAUACCAGUGUGAUAAUUUCACUAUUUCAAUCCUUUGGGACUCUCUCUAUCAGUUCUCGGCGGUUGAAUCGUCUCAGUGGUUAUGCGGACCGCAUUCACGAGCUGAUGGUUGUCUCUAGAGAGCUAUCUUCUAUUCAGGGCACAUCAUCAAUUCGAAAUAGCUCAAGUGAGAAUUAUAUUAGUGAAGCAAGUCAUAUUGAAUUCUCAGAUGUCAAGGUUGUUACACCAAAAGGAAACGUAUUGGUGGACAAUCUGAAUCUUAAGGUUGAAUCAGGUUCUAAUCUUCUGAUCACAGGUCCAAAUGGAAGUGGGAAAAGCUCCCUUUUCCGGGUUCUUGGAGGCCUCUGGCCGCUACUAUCUGGUCACAUUGUAAAGCCUGGGUUUGGUUCUGAUCUCAAUAAGGAGAUCUUCUAUGUCCCACAACGACCAUAUACGGCUGUUGGAACACUUCGUGACCAAUUAAUCUAUCCUCUUACGGCAGAUCAGGAGAGUGAACCACUUACACUUGAUGGAAUGGUUGAGCUGUUGAAAAAUGUGGACCUUGAGUACUUGCUGGAACGUUAUCCCUUUGACAAGGUAGUUAACUGGGGUGAUGAACUAUCCCUUGGUGAGCAACAGAGACUGGGAAUGGCCAGGUUGUUCUACCAUAAGCCUAAGUUUGCCAUUCUUGAUGAGUGUACAAGUGCUGUCACAACUGAUAUGGAGGAACGUUUCUGUGCUAAGGUUCGAGCAAUGGGGACGUCAUGUAUUACUAUAUCUCACCGCCCUGCAUUAGUUGCAUUUCAUGACAUAGUUUUGUCCUUGGAUGGGGAAGGAGGGUGGAAUGUUCAGUACAAGAGGGAUGGUCCAUCAUUUUCUAAUGAAGCUGGUCCUGCUCUGCUAAAAUGUUCUGAAUCUGAUCGUCAAAAUGAUGCGCUGGCUGUUCAAAGAUCUUUUACUGCCAGCAGAAAGGAUAAUACAUCACCAAAAUCCAAGGGGCAUUCUUAUUCAACAGAGGUGAUAACAUCAUCUCCUGAAAUAGAGUACAAUGUUCCGUUGCCUGUGGUUCCACAAUUGCAAAGGGCCCGAAGAACAUUGCCGCUUAGAAUAGCUGCAAUGUUUAAAAUACUGGUUCCCACUCUGCUUGAUGGACAGGGUUCACAGUUGUUUGCAGUUGCUUUACUUGUUGUGUCUAGAACAUGGAUUUCGGAUCGCAUUGCUUCUUUGAAUGGGACUAGUGUGAAGUAUGUCUUGGAGCAGGACAAAGCAGCCUUUAUUAGAUUAACUGGUAUAAGCAUUCUUCAAAGUGCUGCAUCCUCUAUUGUUGCCCCGUCACUAAGGUACCUCACAGCCAAGCUUGCCCUUGGAUGGCGAAUUCGUUUGACUCAACAUAUACUGAAAUAUUAUUUAAAAAGAAAUGCUUUUUACAAGGUGUUCCACAUGCCAGGUAAAAAUAUUGAUGCAGACCAGCGAAUAACACAUGAUGUGGAAAAGUUAACCCAUGAUCUCUCAAAAUUGGUCACUGGAAUGGUAAAACCUUCUGUGGACAUUAUUUGGUUCACUUGGAGAAUGAAACUCUUAACCGGGCAAAGAGGAGUUGGUAUAUUGUACCUUUACAUGUUACUAGGCUUGGGCUUCUUGAGAAGUGUCACCCCGGAUUUUGGUGAUCUGGCAAGUAGGGAACAACAGCUUGAGGGAGCAUUUAGGUUUAUGCACUCAAGACUCCGUACACAUGCUGAAUCCAUUGCUUUCUUUGGUGGUGGUUCUCGGGAAAAAGCCAUGAUUGAUUCAAGAUUUAGGGACAUGCUUCAUCACUCGAAGACCCUAUUGAGAAAAAAAUGGCUGUAUGGUGUCUUAGAUGACUUUGUCACGAAACAACUUCCUCACAAUGUGACAUGGGGACUUAGUUUGUUAUAUGCUAUGGAGCAUAAAGGAGACCGUGCUUUGACUUCUACACAAGGGGAGCUGGCACAUGCAUUGCGCUUCCUAGCGUCUGUAGUGUCACAAAGCUUUCUGGCAUUUGGGGACGUACUUGAGUUGCAUAAAAAAUUCCUUGAACUUUCUGGUGGUAUAAACCGGAUCUUUGAGCUGGAGGAGCUUCUUGAUGCUGCCCAGAGCGAGAUUUCUCUACCUGAUGCUUCCAUCUCCUCUGAAGUAAAUGACUCACCUGCUCAAGAUAUUAUUUCUUUCUCUAAGGUGGAUAUUAUCACCCCAUCACAGAAGCUAUUGGCUAGGCAACUAACGUGUGAUAUUUUACAAGGAAAAAGCCUGCUUGUUACUGGACCCAACGGGAGUGGGAAGAGUUCUGUAUUCAGAGUCCUUCGAGGUUUGUGGCCGAUUGUAACUGGAAAACUUGUCAAGUGCUGCCAAGGCAUGUUCUAUGUUCCCCAGCGACCAUAUACAAGUCUGGGGACUCUGAGGGAUCAAAUCAUAUACCCUCUCUCUCGUGAGGAAGCAGAGAUGAGGAUGCUCACAAUAGGCGGCAAGCCUGAUGCUACUAGUCUUCUGGAUGCUCACCUGAAGACUAUUCUUGAGAACGUUCGAUUAGUCUAUCUUCUUGAAAGAGAAGGUUGGGAUGCUGCUUCAAACUGGGAAGAUGUUCUUUCACUAGGGGAACAACAGAGGCUGGGCAUGGCCCGGUUGUUUUUCCACCAACCAAAAUUUGGCAUCCUUGAUGAGUGCACAAAGUAUGCAAUCUAUUAAGUUCCAGUGCCACUAGUGUCGACGUUGAAGAACACCUAUACAGACUUGCAAAUGAAAUGGGUAUAACAGUUAUUACAUCUUCCCAACGUCCUGCCCUCAUACCAUUCCAUUCCAUGGAGUUGAAACUUGUUGAUGGUGAGGGCAAGUGGGAGUUAUGUGCGAUCAACCAGUGAAUUUUGUCAACAUAUUCUGUUGGCAUUUACGCCUAUGGAAUCAAUCAGAAUUGCUAGUUACGACAAAGCCAACAGCGCCAUGAUGCAGCUAGAGAUUUAAAGAAUACGCCAACACAGGUGAAGCCAGAUGUAUAAGUAAGUGCAGAUUCUACGGUAAGAUGGGACUUCUGCACAUGUUCGGACCUUUUGUCCUCAUGGGAAACUUUUAUUCUUUUACGCGAGAUUUUUGAGCCAGAAGAAAGGUGGAUACUUACUAUAGGUAUAGAUCAUAGAUGGUAAAAACAAAAAAAAAGGGGCUCAGGCCCCAUAGUUUGACCAAUAAGAAUGGGAUAUGGUAAUAGAACUGUAUAGCGAGGAAUUUUAUUGUACAGUCCAAUCCAUUAAUCUAAUACAUCUAAAAAGAAAAUGACAUUAUUUCAGAUCAACUGAAGGAUGUGUCAAUAUUUGCCUUGCCUAGUUCCGAAGCUCGUGCAGUGCAGAACCAGUGCGUGAAGACUCAUAUUCUGAGUCCUUUCACUUCCAUAACGGUAUGGAUAUGGGGCUUUGAAUUAUGACGGUUGGUUUUUGCACUUACUUUUUAUUCUUUUUGUAUAAACACAUCAGAGAUUACUAGAUUUUAUUGCAUCAGUCGGUGGAGCUCUGGAAUAACAUCUAACGUCUUUUUUUGCAUAUGAAGCUCCGGCUGGUAUCUCGCUCUAUGCUUUUGUUUCCCAAAAAUGGUUCUAUUUGAUUUUGAUUGUACUCCUAUGGAGAAUUUGCUGCCGGCAUCUCAGGUAUGGCAGCAGUUUUAUGGAUUCAUAGGAGUUGAGGAUUUUUAUUCAGGAACAUGAAGGGAUGAGAUGCAUGGGUGCAAGGAGGGGGUUAGGUCUGGAUGAAAAUUUGACCCAUUAGCAUGGCCAACGGCGCUAUAAGCUGCUCUAGUCCUUUAUUCCCUUGAAUUUGUUGUAGGUUACUUUCGUGAUAUCCUUGUUCCUGCUAUGAAGGUGUUUUAACACGUCAGACUGCGUCUCCUGCAUCAGCGUGGUUGUUGCAUUUCUCUUUACCAAGCAUUUGUAUGUAUUUUGAUCAGAUGGGGGAAGUUUGAGGGCAGAAGCUUUCCAUUUGAGAAAUGCUUUGGAAUUUGUAUUUACUAUCAUCUGAUUACUGCGUUAAAAAUGUUAAAGAGUCUUUUUUCA